CCCUAUGGGGUGCAGCAGUCGCGAAAACUCCGCAAUGCACGAAAGUGUGACGGGGCUACCCCGAGUGCCUUCCGCUGAGGGAGGCUUUUCUUUGGUAUAAUUAGCCAUUGGAAUAAGGAGAGGGCAAGACUGGUGUCAGCCGCCGCGGUAAUACCAGCUCUCCGAGUGGUAGGGAUGAUUAUUGGGCUUAAAGCGUCCGUAGCCGGCUUAGCAAGUCUCCUGUUAAACUCAGCGACUUAAUCGUUGAAUCGCGGGAGAUACUACUAGGCUAGGAGGCGGGAGAGGUCGACGGUACUUCUGGGGUAGGGGUGAAAUCCUAUAAUCCCGGGAGGACCACCAGUGGCGAAGGCUGUCGACUAGAACGCGCUCGACGGUGAGGGACGAAAGCUGGGGGAGCGAACCGGAUUAGAUACCCGGGUAGUCCCAGCUGUAAACGAUGCGGGCUAGGUGUUGGGAUGGCUACGUGCCAUUUCAGUGCCGCAGGGAAGCCAUUAAGCCCGCCGCCUGGGGAGUACGGCCGCAAGGCUGAAACUUAAAGGAAUUGGCGGGGGAGCACCACAAGGCGUGAAGCUUGCGGUUCAAUUGGAGUCAACGCCGGGAACCUUACCGGGGGCGACAGCAGAAUGAAGGCCAGAUUGAAGGUCUUGCUAGACAAGCUGAGAGGAGGUGCAUGGCC
RNAcentral lists this ribosomal RNA (676 nucleotides) under uncultured crenarchaeote. RNAcentral's name for it is "bacterial SSU rRNA". It matches the Rfam family "Archaeal small subunit ribosomal RNA", at positions 321 to 999 of the family's 1478-position model. The record is from RNAcentral. Lineage: Archaea; Thermoproteati; Thermoproteota.